Molecule: ribosomal RNA, 233 nt
Filed under: uncultured archaeon
Lineage: Archaea
Description: partial 16S ribosomal RNA
Rfam family: Archaeal small subunit ribosomal RNA
Source: RNAcentral
GCCACUGCUAUUGGGGUUCGGCUAAGCCAUGCGAGUGGAGGGCGCGGUCGAAAGAUCGUGGCCCCCGCACACGGCUCAGUAACACGUAGUCAACCUAACCUAGGGGCGGGUAUAACCUCGGGAAACUGAGGCUAAUCCCCCGAUAGACGGGAAACGCUGGAAUGCCUUCCCGUCCAAAGCUCAGGCGCCCUAGGAUGGGACUGCGGCCCAUCAGGCCUGUUGGUGGUGUGACG